UGGGGAAUAUUGCGCAAUGGGCGGAAGCCUGACGCAGCGACGCCGCGUGAGGGAUGACGGCCUUCGGGUUGUAAACCUCUUUCAGCAGGGACGAAGCGCAAGUGACGGUACCUGCAGAAGAAGCGCCGGCUAACUACGUGCCAGCAGCCGCGGUAAUACGUAGGGCGCAAGCGUUGUCCGGAAUUAUUGGGCGUAAAGAGCUCGUAGGCGGUUUGUCGCGUCUGUCGUGAAAGCCCACGGCUUAACCGUGGGUCUGCGGUGGAUACGGGCAGACUAGAGGCAGGUAGGGGAGAAUGGAAUUCCCGGUGUAGCGGUGAAAUGCGCAGAUAUCGGGAGGAACACCGGUGGCGAAGGCGGUUCUCUGGGCCUGUACUGACGCUGAGGAGCGAAAGCGUGGGGAGCGAACAGG
RNAcentral lists this ribosomal RNA (409 nucleotides) under uncultured bacterium. Its description in RNAcentral is "bacterial SSU rRNA". It matches the Rfam family "Bacterial small subunit ribosomal RNA", at positions 355 to 776 of the family's 1533-position model. The record is from RNAcentral.